RNAcentral lists this ribosomal RNA (276 nucleotides) under uncultured Anoxybacillus sp. Its description in RNAcentral is "partial 16S ribosomal RNA". It matches the Rfam family "Bacterial small subunit ribosomal RNA", at positions 1105 to 1382 of the family's 1533-position model. Lineage: Bacteria; Bacillati; Bacillota; Bacilli; Caryophanales; Anoxybacillaceae. The record is from RNAcentral.
UCGACCUUAGUUGCCAGCAUUCAGUUGGGCACUCUAAAGGUGACUGCCGGCUAAAAGUCGGAGGAAGUGGGGAUGACGUCAAAUCAUCAUGCCCCUUAUGACCUGGGCUACACACGUGCUACAAUGGGCGGUACAAAGGGUCGCGAACCCGCGAGGGGGAGCCAAUCCCAAAAAGCCGCUCUCAGUUCGGAUUGCAGGCUGCAACUCGCCUGCAUGAAGCCGGAAUCGCUAGUAAUCGCGGAUCAGCAUGCCGCGGUGAAUACGUUCCCGGGCCUU